This 550-nucleotide ribosomal RNA is filed under the name Meyerozyma guilliermondii. Its description in RNAcentral is "eukaryotic LSU rRNA". It matches the Rfam family "Eukaryotic large subunit ribosomal RNA", at positions 87 to 652 of the family's 3401-position model. The record is from RNAcentral. Lineage: Eukaryota; Fungi; Ascomycota; Pichiomycetes; Serinales; Debaryomycetaceae.
CGGCGAAGUGAAGCGGCAAAAGCUCAAAUUUGAAAUCUGGCGCCUUCGGUGUCCGAGUUGUAAUUUGAAGAUUGUAACCUUGGGGUUGGCUCUUGUCUAUGUUUCUUGGAACAGGACGUCACAGAGGGUGAGAAUCCCGUGCGAUGAGAUGCCCAAUCCUAUGUAAGGUGCUUUCGAAGAGUCGAGUUGUUUGGGAAUGCAGCUCUAAGUGGGUGGUAAAUUCCAUCUAAAGCUAAAUAUUGGCGAGAGACCGAUAGCGAACAAGUACAGUGAUGGAAAGAUGAAAAGAACUUUGAAAAGAGAGUGAAAAAGUACGUGAAAUUGUUGAAAGGGAAGGGUUUGAGAUCAGACUCGAUAUUUUGUGAGCCUUGCCUUCGUGGCGGGGUGACCCGCAGCUUAUCGGGCCAGCAUCGGUUUGGGCGGUAGGAUAAUGGCGUAGGAAUGUGACUUUACUUCGGUGAAGUGUUAUAGCCUGCGUUGAUGCUGCCUGCCUAGACCGAGGACUGCGAUUUUAUCAAGGAUGCUGGCAUAAUGAUCCCAAACCGCCCGU